This 305-nucleotide unclassified non-coding RNA is filed under the name uncultured Phaeosphaeriaceae. RNAcentral describes it as "sequence contains ITS1". The stretch from base 1 to 105 matches the Rfam family "5.8S ribosomal RNA", at positions 50 to 154 of the family's 154-position model. Lineage: Eukaryota; Fungi; Ascomycota; Dothideomycetes; Pleosporales; Phaeosphaeriaceae. The record is from RNAcentral.
GAAAUGCGAUAAGUAGUGUGAAUUGCAGAAUUCAGUGAAUCAUCGAAUCUUUGAACGCACAUUGCGCCCCUUGGUAUUCCAUGGGGCAUGCCUGUUCGAGCGUCAUUUGUACCCUCAAGCUAUGCUUGGUGUUGGGCGUCUUGUCUUGUUCCUUUGGGACUAGACUCGCCUUAAAGUAAUUGGCAGCCAGUGUUUUUGGUAGUAAGCGCAGCACAUUUUGCGUCCCAGCCCCUAAACAAUGGCAUCCACAAAGCCUCUUUCUCACUUUUGACCUCGGAUCAGGUAGGGAUACCCGCUGAACUUAA